GUGCUCUCUUGGGCAGCAUACCUGCUCUAUCUGAACGACACAAGGUUAGCAUGGCACAAGGAUGACAUGACAAUUUGAGAGAUAUCCCACAUUUUU
RNAcentral lists this small nuclear RNA (96 nucleotides) under Cricetulus griseus (Chinese hamster). Lineage: Eukaryota; Metazoa; Chordata; Mammalia; Rodentia; Cricetidae. The record is from RNAcentral.